Small nuclear RNA from Grammomys surdaster, 183 nucleotides. RefSeq annotates it as U2 spliceosomal RNA. The record is from RefSeq and is a predicted model, not a curated record. The transcript has a single exon. Lineage: Eukaryota; Metazoa; Chordata; Mammalia; Rodentia; Muridae.
AUCAUUUUACCCUUUUGGAUAGGAUCAAGUGUACUAUCUCUUCUUGCCAGAUUAAUACCUGUUACCUCCUCAAUAUGGAAAAAAAUAUUACAUGGAUUUGGGGAAUUACUAUAUGAAAAGAGAGAUUUCAUCAUCCAGUCCACAUGUCAACCUGAUACUGCAUUACUGCCUGAAAUAAUUCUG